RNAcentral lists this ribosomal RNA (253 nucleotides) under uncultured bacterium. Its description in RNAcentral is "partial 16S ribosomal RNA". It matches the Rfam family "Bacterial small subunit ribosomal RNA", at positions 524 to 776 of the family's 1533-position model. The record is from RNAcentral.
UACGAACCGUGCGAACGUUGUUCGGAAUCACUGGGCUUAAAGGGCGCGUAGGCGGGCUGCCAAGUCUGGGGUGAAAUCCUCCGGCUCAACCGGAGAACGGCCUCGGAUACUGGCGGUCUCGAGGGAGGUAGGGGCGUGCGGAACUAAGGGUGGAGCGGUGAAAUGCGUUGAUAUCCUUAGGAACUCCGGUGGCGAAGGCGGCACGCUGGACCUCUUCUGACGCUGAGGCGCGAAAGCCAGGGGAGCAAACGGG